UAGCAUGGGAUAAAUGGAAUAGGACCCUGUCCUCCUAUUUUCAGUUGGUUUUGGCAGCGCGAGGACUAGGGUAAUGAUUAAUAGGGAUAGUUGGGGGCAUUAAUAUUUAAUUGUCAGAGGUGAAAUUCUUGGAUUUAUGAAAGAUUAACUUCUGCGAAAGCAUCUGCCAAGGAUGUUUUCAUUAAUCAAGAACGAAAGUUAGGGGAUCGAAGACGAUCAGAUACCGUCGUAGUCUUAACCAUAAACGAUGCCGACCAGCGAUUAGGAGACGUUGAAUACAAAACACCACCAUCGGUGCGGUCGUCCUUGGCGUUGGUGUUUUCAAAAGCCCGCGCGGGUGGGUUGCCCAGGCGGGUCGCGUCAGUGA
RNAcentral lists this ribosomal RNA (367 nucleotides) under Acanthamoeba genotype T4. RNAcentral's name for it is "SSU rRNA". It matches the Rfam family "Eukaryotic small subunit ribosomal RNA", at positions 805 to 1113 of the family's 1831-position model. Lineage: Eukaryota; Discosea; Longamoebia; Acanthamoebidae. The record is from RNAcentral.